This 1839-nucleotide long non-coding RNA is filed under the name Theobroma cacao (cacao). RNAcentral describes it as "long non-coding RNA (TCAC_LNC000308)". The record is from RNAcentral. Lineage: Eukaryota; Viridiplantae; Streptophyta; Magnoliopsida; Malvales; Malvaceae.
AUUUAAUUUACAGUGACAUGUGGGCCCACGAAUGGCCAAAAAUAUCAAAAACGGUAAAUCUAUAGUUUUUGAGGAUGCAAGUCCAACUGUAGCCCUCAACGAAAUGAGCUAUCUACCGAUUAUCCUAAGCCUGAAAUGGGUGGAAAGGAGGGUGGUGAGAUUAUAUAAUCCCAAUCAGUAAACAAAUAUCAUCUAAAAUAUCUAAAGCUGAGUAAAUGGAGACAAAUAAAAUAGUUUAACAUAAAAAUGAUUCACAGCAUUUCGAACUCAUUUUAAUAAGAUAAAAUAGAUUCAUUUCACCCAAAUAAACAACGAGGCUUAUGAUUUCCUGAAAAGUUUAGCUCGUGCCAAAAUCAUUCUCAUACUCAGUUAACAAGGAUAUCUUGGCCUAGGGCUAUCCCAACCGAGUUCGCCAAGGCUGUUAAAAAGUCAUGUACGCAUAAAUCAUGUUUUUAUUUUGAAAACAUAGUCGUUCCUUGGCAUUGGCUGAGUUCACCCUCACGUGGUAAUUUGGCGUGAAGUGAACUCUAAAGUUGUACCUCGAGAAUUACCCUACGCGCCUCCCCAAUCGAGGUAAGAAUAUAAUAGGAUUCCGUGCCCCUCAAAAGGGCUGGCCCACAGAACCUGCCCACUGUAGCAAGCUAAACCCACCAUACAAUAAAAUUUGCAAUAGCAUGAUAUGGCAAUUAUUUUAUUUUACAGCCUCUCAAGGCAAAUCAAUAGUCCAUACAUUUUUAGCAUAUUUACCAAUUCAACCAUUCAUGCCAAUAUUAUCAUAAGCCAUUCAAUUCAAACCAUGAUUUUAAAACAGCAAUUAGUCUCCAAUAACUCCAUUUUCAAAACCAUCUUUCAAUUUCAAGAUAAUUUUAUAAAAUCAUUUCAUUUAAUCACAUUUUGCUUAUAAAACAUAAAGAUUUACCAUUUAAACUCAUUUUUCUAUCAAUUCACGAAAACGAAUAAACACUACUUUAGAUAAUUAAGACGAUAAUAAGGUUACUCACUAUUUCGAGAGUCUAAUUUCAAGUACUCUGAUUCUUGAUCCUCGGGUACUAUCUCUUUACUUUUGCCAGAAAGCUCACCACCUAGAUAUAAUGCACAAUAAACCAUUUACUACAUUUGUGCUAAAUCGUUGUAAAUCCAAUUCAAGCUUUAUACUAAUGCAUGAAAUGGGAUGUGAAAUACUUGGUUAACUAUCUAAAUACGGUGUUCAAUAUAAAUUCAAUUAUGUACCUAAAUAAAAUGGUAUUGGCCUAAUUCGAUCUAUCACUCGAUUAAUUGGCCAAUAUGUCCAAUUUAAUUCCAAUUAACUCCAUUUUUCUUCCAAUUCUCCAAACCAUCAAACACAAGUCAAAUAGCAUAAAAUUUAGCAAAAUCAUCUUCACAUUUUCUCUUGGGAAUUUCGGCCAUGGUGGGUGCAUCAAUACUAUGAUUUUUCCUACUUGAUUUUCUCACCGUAAUUCAUCAUUUCCUAACCAAUUCACUUGAAAGAAAAUCAAAAUUAUCAUCAAUAUUCCACAUGGAGAAUUCGGCCAAUGAGGGUUAUGGAAGAACAUAAAUUUUUCUUGCUUGAUUUUCAUACUACACAUCACCAAUCAACUAAAAACACUAGAAUACAUUGAAAUCUAACCAAAUCAAGUAUCAAAACCUCCCUCUAAGUGUUCGGCCAGCAAGGGAUUCAUCAUGAUUUCAUGUGAUUCAACCAUGAAAAAUAAGAAAAAAUGCUUAAGAAAGAGAGAUCUCAAGCUUAAUUGAAAAAAUCUUACCUUUUUUCACUUGUUUCCUUGAAUUUUCACACUUUUCCCUUGAAUAUUUCCACCUAGGGUUUUGUUCUUCCUUUUU